Molecule: transfer RNA, 82 nt
Filed under: Muribaculaceae bacterium
Lineage: Bacteria; Pseudomonadati; Bacteroidota; Bacteroidia; Bacteroidales; Muribaculaceae
Description: tRNA-Leu
Rfam family: tRNA
About the family: Transfer RNA (tRNA) molecules are approximately 80 nucleotides in length.
Source: RNAcentral
GCCCGGAUGGCGGAAUCGGUAGACGCGUCGGUCUCAAACACCGAUGGAGAGAUCCGUGCCGGUUCGACCCCGGCUCCGGGUA